This 138-nucleotide unclassified non-coding RNA is filed under the name uncultured fungus. Its description in RNAcentral is "sequence contains ITS1". Lineage: Eukaryota; Fungi. The record is from RNAcentral.
CUGAGUUUUCUACUCUACACCCUGUAAACCUACCACUACGGCUUCGGUGGCCUGCCCCGGGGGGCGCUAUAAAGGGCUGCCGAUAGCAUAAAAAUCUCUGUCUAAAAGACUUUCUGAGUGGACAAAGAAAACAAGUCA